Long non-coding RNA from Cucurbita maxima (winter squash), 287 nucleotides. RefSeq lists it as uncharacterized. NCBI's taxonomy places the organism in Eukaryota, Viridiplantae, Streptophyta, Magnoliopsida, Cucurbitales, Cucurbitaceae. The record is from RefSeq and is a predicted model, not a curated record. The transcript is spliced from 2 exons.
AAAAGGUUUGGUGGAGUAGUUGGGUGAUAAAUGUUGGUUGUGUCAUGAGUUAAAGCUGCAUGAGUUUGCAUGUGCAGGAGUUAAUAUGAUUGUGGCUAUGAUAAGCCACUGUACUACAACUGGUGUUAGUUUCUGUUUGUCAUAGAGACAAGAAAAAGUCAACCGGGCAGAGUCCGAAGGUAGCAGGAAGGAGCUUUUUCGGAUGGGAAACAAUUUCGUUGAUUAAAUGAAAUGUACAAAAAGGAGAGCCCUAUCCAAUAGAGAUUACAAAAAAAAGGGAAAAAAAA